Molecule: non-coding RNA, 190 nt
Organism: Spodoptera litura
Lineage: Eukaryota; Metazoa; Arthropoda; Insecta; Lepidoptera; Noctuidae
Source: RefSeq, a predicted model, not a curated record
UCUCAAAAAUACGUCUCAUCUCAUUAUGUUAAGGACAUUAAGUUAUUUUUCUUUAUAUCUAGUCUUGAACAGUCUGAUCAGAAGAUGCCACUGUGUAGUUUAUACUUAUGAAGAUAUUGAAUUAAGAAGAAUAUUUCCUAGUGAAUUCCCUCAAGAUACAAUUAGAAAAUCUGGUACUAUAGACGCAGAG